Molecule: long non-coding RNA, 370 nt
Organism: Gallus gallus (chicken)
Lineage: Eukaryota; Metazoa; Chordata; Aves; Galliformes; Phasianidae
Source: Ensembl
CUCCCGUGGGGCCAGCACUGCACCUGUUCCGUGGAGCCCAGGUGGUCUGAAACGUGAUUAAUUUGGCUCAGGAAUGAAUAUAGGAGUUACCUAUCUUCCCUCCUACUGGUAACAGCCUGCGUGUGAUCGUGAAAAGCUGCAGAAGAGAGUCCCUUUGUGAUGAUUCUGAAGAUUUAUGUGGAAACCUAUGGCUGGAAGGUAAAAAAUGAGAACAGAACAGAAGAUUGGGAUGAGUACGUGGAAGUUUAAAUUGCUGAACAUCUACACCAGGGGUCUUGUGGCACACCAUCCUGCGAGACCACAGGAAAGGCUCCAAAUGUCCCUUCUUGUGCACGCAGCUCAGACAACCUGGAGCUGUUUUAGUACGGGG